GCCCGGGUGCUGGAAUUGGUAGACAGUGUGGCCUUAAGAGCCAUUGCUCCUAAAAGAGCGUGUGGGUUCGAGUCCCUCCCCGGGCA
This 86-nucleotide transfer RNA is filed under the name Candidatus Blackburnbacteria bacterium. Its description in RNAcentral is "tRNA-Leu". It matches the Rfam family "tRNA". Rfam says of the family: Transfer RNA (tRNA) molecules are approximately 80 nucleotides in length. Their secondary structure includes four short double-helical elements and three loops (D, anti-codon, and T loops). The record is from RNAcentral. Lineage: Bacteria; Candidatus Blackburniibacteriota.